RNAcentral lists this ribosomal RNA (325 nucleotides) under uncultured bacterium. RNAcentral's name for it is "bacterial SSU rRNA". It matches the Rfam family "Bacterial small subunit ribosomal RNA", at positions 28 to 334 of the family's 1533-position model. The record is from RNAcentral.
GAUGAACGCUGGCGGCGUGCCUAACACAUGCAAGUCGAACGGGGUCAUUAAGGAAAAAUCCUUCGGGAUUCGGAAUUCUUGACCUAGUGGCGGACGGGUGAGUAACGCGUGAGCAAUCUGCCUUUGGAUGGGGGAUAACAGCCGGAAACGACUGCUAAUACCGCAUGAUGCAGCGAGACCGCAUGAUUUUGCUGCCAAAGAUUUAUCGUCCAAAGAUGAGCUCGCGUCUGAUUAGCCAGUUGGCGGGGUAACGGCCCACCAAAGCGACGAUCAGUAGCCGGACUGAGAGGUUGAACGGCCACAUUGGGACUGAGACACGGCCCAG